Molecule: regulatory RNA element, 54 nt
Organism: Astyanax mexicanus (Mexican tetra)
Lineage: Eukaryota; Metazoa; Chordata; Actinopteri; Characiformes; Acestrorhamphidae
Rfam family: UnaL2 LINE 3' element
About the family: The eel long interspersed element (LINE) UnaL2 and its partner short interspersed element (SINE) share a conserved 3' tail containing a stem-loop that is critical for their retrotransposition. Presumably, the first step of retrotransposition is the recognition of their 3' tails by UnaL2-encoded reverse transcriptase.
Source: Rfam
UAGGAAAAACCUUGUAAGUCACUUUGGAUAAAAGUGUCAGCUAAAUGACAGAAA